RNAcentral lists this ribosomal RNA (2923 nucleotides) under Klebsiella pneumoniae. Its description in RNAcentral is "23S ribosomal RNA". It matches the Rfam family "Bacterial large subunit ribosomal RNA". RNAcentral also lists the same sequence under 1 other name. The record is from RNAcentral. Lineage: Bacteria; Pseudomonadati; Pseudomonadota; Gammaproteobacteria; Enterobacterales; Enterobacteriaceae.
GGGUUGUGAGGUUAAGCGACUAAGCGUACACGGUGGAUGCCCUGGCAGUCAGAGGCGAUGAAGGACGUGCUAAUCUGCGAAAAGCGUCGGUAAGGUGAUAUGAACCGUUAUAACCGGCGAUGUCCGAAUGGGGAAACCCAGUGCAAUUCGUUGCACUAUCGUUAACUGAAUACAUAGGUUAACGAGGCGAACCGGGGGAACUGAAACAUCUAAGUACCCCGAGGAAAAGAAAUCAACCGAGAUUCCCCCAGUAGCGGCGAGCGAACGGGGAGCAGCCCAGAGUCUGAAUCAGCUUGUGUGUUAGUGGAACGGUCUGGAAAGUCCGACGGUACAGGGUGAUAGUCCCGUACACCAAAAUGCACAGGCUGUGAACUCGAAGAGUAGGGCGGGACACGUGGUAUCCUGUCUGAAUAUGGGGGGACCAUCCUCCAAGGCUAAAUACUCCUGACUGACCGAUAGUGAACCAGUACCGUGAGGGAAAGGCGAAAAGAACCCCGGCGAGGGGAGUGAAAAAGAACCUGAAACCGUGUACGUACAAGCAGUGGGAGCACCUUCGGGUGUGACUGCGUACCUUUUGUAUAAUGGGUCAGCGACUUAUAUUCUGUAGCAAGGUUAACCGUAUAGGGGAGCCGCAGGGAAACCGAGUCUUAACUGGGCGUUAAGUUGCAGGGUAUAGACCCGAAACCCGGUGAUCUAGCCAUGGGCAGGUUGAAGGUUGGGUAACACUAACUGGAGGACCGAACCGACUAAUGUUGAAAAAUUAGCGGAUGACUUGUGGCUGGGGGUGAAAGGCCAAUCAAACCGGGAGAUAGCUGGUUCUCCCCGAAAGCUAUUUAGGUAGCGCCUCGUGAAUUCAUCUUCGGGGGUAGAGCACUGUUUCGGCUAGGGGGUCAUCCCGACUUACCAACCCGAUGCAAACUACGAAUACCGAAGAAUGUUAUCACGGGAGACACACGGCGGGUGCUAACGUCCGUCGUGAAGAGGGAAACAACCCAGACCGCCAGCUAAGGUCCCAAAGUCAUGGUUAAGUGGGAAACGAUGUGGGAAGGCACAGACAGCCAGGAUGUUGGCUUAGAAGCAGCCAUCAUUUAAAGAAAGCGUAAUAGCUCACUGGUCGAGUCGGCCUGCGCGGAAGAUGUAACGGGGCUAAACCAUGCACCGAAGCUGCGGCAGCGACACUAUGUGUUGUUGGGUAGGGGAGCGUUCUGUAAGCCUGCGAAGGUGACCUGUGAGGGUUGCUGGAGGUAUCAGAAGUGCGAAUGCUGACAUAAGUAACGAUAAAGCGGGUGAAAAGCCCGCUCGCCGGAAGACCAAGGGUUCCUGUCCAACGUUAAUCGGGGCAGGGUGAGUCGACCCCUAAGGCGAGGCCGAAAGGCGUAGUCGAUGGGAAACAGGUUAAUAUUCCUGUACUUGGUGUUACUGCGAAGGGGGGACGGAGAAGGCUAUGUUAGCCGGGCGACGGUUGUCCCGGUUUAAGCAUGUAGGCUGAUUGUCCAGGCAAAUCCGGAUAAUCAAGGCUGAGGUGUGAUGACGAGGCACUACGGUGCUGAAGUAACAAAUGCCCUGCUUCCAGGAAAAGCCUCUAAGCAUCAGGUAACAUUAAAUCGUACCCCAAACCGACACAGGUGGUCAGGUAGAGAAUACCAAGGCGCUUGAGAGAACUCGGGUGAAGGAACUAGGCAAAAUGGUGCCGUAACUUCGGGAGAAGGCACGCUGGUGUGUAGGUGAAGUCCCUGCGGAUGGAGCUGAGACCAGUCGAAGAUACCAGCUGGCUGCAACUGUUUAUUAAAAACACAGCACUGUGCAAACACGAAAGUGGACGUAUACGGUGUGACGCCUGCCCGGUGCCGGAAGGUUAAUUGAUGGGGUUAUCCGUAAGGAGAAGCUCUUGAUCGAAGCCCCGGUAAACGGCGGCCGUAACUAUAACGGUCCUAAGGUAGCGAAAUUCCUUGUCGGGUAAGUUCCGACCUGCACGAAUGGCGUAAUGAUGGCCAGGCUGUCUCCACCCGAGACUCAGUGAAAUUGAACUCGCUGUGAAGAUGCAGUGUACCCGCGGCAAGACGGAAAGACCCCGUGAACCUUUACUAUAGCUUGACACUGAACAUUGAGCCUUGAUGUGUAGGAUAGGUGGGAGGCUUUGAAGCGUGGACGCCAGUCUGCGUGGAGCCAACCUUGAAAUACCACCCUUUAAUGUUUGAUGUUCUAACGUUGGCCCCUUACCGGGGUUGCGGACAGUGUCUGGUGGGUAGUUUGACUGGGGCGGUCUCCUCCCAAAGCGUAACGGAGGAGCACGAAGGUUAGCUAAUCCUGGUCGGACAUCAGGAGGUUAGUGCAAUGGCAUAAGCUAGCUUGACUGCGAGCGUGACGGCGCGAGCAGGUGCGAAAGCAGGUCAUAGUGAUCCGGUGGUUCUGAAUGGAAGGGCCAUCGCUCAACGGAUAAAAGGUACUCCGGGGAUAACAGGCUGAUACCGCCCAAGAGUUCAUAUCGACGGCGGUGUUUGGCACCUCGAUGUCGGCUCAUCACAUCCUGGGGCUGAAGUAGGUCCCAAGGGUAUGGCUGUUCGCCAUUUAAAGUGGUACGCGAGCUGGGUUUAGAACGUCGUGAGACAGUUCGGUCCCUAUCUGCCGUGGGCGCUGGAGAAUUGAGGGGGGCUGCUCCUAGUACGAGAGGACCGGAGUGGACGCAUCACUGGUGUUCGGGUUGUCAUGCCAAUGGCACUGCCCGGUAGCUAAAUGCGGAAGAGAUAAGUGCUGAAAGCAUCUAAGCACGAAACUUGCCCCGAGAUGAGUUCUCCCUGAGACUUUAAGUCUCCUGAAGGAACGUUGAAGACGACGACGUUGAUAGGCCGGGUGUGUAAGCGCAGCGAUGCGUUGAGCUAACCGGUACUAAUGAACCGUGAGGCUUAACCUUACAACGCCGAAG